AGUUUGAUCAUGGCUCAGAGUGAACGUUGGCGGCGUGCCUAACACAUGCAAGUCGAACGGACUCAAAGGGGUAACUCUUUGAGUUAGUGGCGAACGGGUGAGUAACACGUGGGUAAUCUCCCCUCGAGUGAGGAAUAAGCUCCCGAAAGGGAGUCUAAUACCGCAUAACGCCAUGGGGCAUAAGCGUCCAUGGUUAAAGCCGCAAGGCGCUUGAGGAUGAGCCCGCGUCCUAUUAGCUAGUUGGUAGGGUAACGGCCUACCAAGGCGAUGAUGGGUAGCCGGCCUGAGAGGGUGUCCGGCCACACUGGGACUGAGACACGGCCCAGACUCCUACGGGAGGCAGCAGUGAGGAAUUUUGCGCAAUGGGGGAAACCCUGACGCAGCGACGCCGCGUGGAGGAUGAAGGCCUUCGGGUCGUAAACUCCUGUCAGAGGUGAAGAAUGCCCGCAAGGGUUUGACGGUAACCUCAGAGGAAGCCCCGGCCAACUACGUGCCAGCAGCCGCGGUAAUACGUAGGGGGCGAACGUUACUCGGAAUUACUGGGCGUAAAGGGUGUGUAGGCGGUUGAGUAAGUCAAAGAUGAAAUCCCG
RNAcentral lists this ribosomal RNA (590 nucleotides) under uncultured bacterium. RNAcentral describes it as "bacterial SSU rRNA". It matches the Rfam family "Bacterial small subunit ribosomal RNA", at positions 10 to 604 of the family's 1533-position model. The record is from RNAcentral.